GACGAACGCUGGCGGCGUGCCUAAUACAUGCAAGUCGAACGAACUCUGGUAUUGAUUGGUGCUUGCAUCAUGAUUUACAUUUGAGUGAGUGGCGAACUGGUGAGUAACACGUGGGAAACCUGCCCAGAAGCGGGGGAUAACACCUGGAAACAGAUGCUAAUACCGCAUAACAACUUGGACCGCAUGGUCCGAGUUUAAAAGAUGGCUUCGGCUAUCACUUUUGGAUGGUCCCGCGGCGUAUUAGCUAGAUGGUGAGGUAACGGCUCACCAUGGCAAUGAUACGUAGCCGACCUGAGAGGGUAAUCGGCCACAUUGGGACUGAGACACGGCCCAAACUCCUACGGGAGGCAGCAGUAGGGAAUCUUCCACAAUGGACGAAAGUCUGAUGGAGCAACGCCGCGUGAGUGAAGAAGGGUUUCGGCUCGUAAAACUCUGUUGUUAAAGAAGAACAUAUCUGAGAGUAACUGUUCAGGUAUUGACGGUAUUUAACCAGAAAGCCACGGCUAACUACGUGCCAGCAGCCGCGGUAAUACGUAGGUGGCAAGCGUUGUCCGGAUUUAUUGGGCGUAAAGCGAGCGCAGGCGGUUUUUUAAGUCUGAUGUGAAAGCCUUCGGCUCAACCGAAGAAGUGCAUCGGAAACUGGGAAACUUGAGUGCAGAAGAGGACAGUGGAACUCCAUGUGUAGCGGUGAAAUGCGUAGAUAUAUGGAAGAACACCAGUGGCGAAGGCGGCUGUCUGGUCUGUAACUGACGCUGAGGCUCGAAAGUAUGGGUAGCAAACAGGAUUAGAUACCCUGGUAGUCCAUACCGUAAACGAUGAAUGCUAAGUGUUGGAGGGUUUCCGCCCUUCAGUGCUGCAGCUAACGCAUUAAGCAUUCCGCCUGGGGAGUACGGGCCGCAAGGCUGAAACUUCAAGGAAUUGACGGGGGCCCGCACAAGCGGUGGAGCAUGUGGUUUAAUUCGAAGCUACGCGAAGAACCUUACCAGGUCUUGACAUACUAUGCAAAUCUAAGAGAUUAGACGUUCCCUUCGGGGACAUGGAUACAGGUGGUGCAUGGUUGUCGUCAGCUCGUGUCGUGAGAUGUUGGGUUAAGUCCCGCAACGAGCGCAACCCUUAUUAUCAGUUGCCAGCAUUAAGUUGGGCACUCUGGUGAGACUGCCGGUGACAAACCGGAGGAAGGUGGGGAUGACGUCAAAUCAUCAUGCCCCUUAUGACCUGGGCUACACACAUGCUACAAUGGAUGGUACAACGAGUUGCGAACUCGCGAGAGUAAGCUAAUCUCUUAAAGCCAUUCUCAGUUCGGAUUGUAGGCUGCAACUCGCCUACAUGAAGUCGGAAUCGCUAGUAAUCGCGGAUCAGCAUGCCGCGGUGAAUACGUUCCCGGGCCUUGUACACACCGCCCGUCACACCAUGAGAGUUUGUAACACCCAAAGUCGGUGGGGUAACCUUUUAGGAACCAGCCGCCUAAGGUGGGACAGAUGAUUAGGGUG
Molecule: ribosomal RNA, 1490 nt
Filed under: Lactiplantibacillus plantarum
Lineage: Bacteria; Bacillati; Bacillota; Bacilli; Lactobacillales; Lactobacillaceae
Description: bacterial SSU rRNA
Rfam family: Bacterial small subunit ribosomal RNA
Source: RNAcentral